GGAGCAAUGGCAUAGAACAAAAGGCGAAGAUAGGUUGUCCCCGAGUUCCUUCCUUUAUGUCCCUCGUCAUCAUCAGUGAGCCAGAGUGACCCUCUGAGGAGAUACUGUUCUAGAAGAGGAAACGGAGGUCCAGAGAGGUCACAGCACUGCACUUUUGUGCCUAUCACAGAAGCCCUUGAAGCCUCAUGAUGAGUUGGAAACGAGGUACUGAACGGAGAGGUGCUCAUGGCUGUGAACGGCAUGGUGCAGUGGACGGAGCA
This is a long non-coding RNA of Prionailurus viverrinus (fishing cat), 260 nucleotides long. RefSeq lists it as uncharacterized. NCBI's taxonomy places the organism in Eukaryota, Metazoa, Chordata, Mammalia, Carnivora, Felidae. The record is from RefSeq and is a predicted model, not a curated record. The transcript is spliced from 3 exons.